GAUGAACGCUGGCGGCGUGCCUAAUACAUGCAAGUCGAGCGAACAGACGAGGAGCUUGCUCCUCUGACGUUAGCGGCGGACGGGUGAGUAACACGUGGAUAACCUACCUAUAAGACUGGGAUAACUUCGGGAAACCGGAGCUAAUACCGGAUAAUAUAUUGAACCGCAUGGUUCAAUAGUGAAAGACGGUUUUGCUGUCACUUAUAGAUGGAUCCGCGCCGCAUUAGCUAGUUGGUAAGGUAACGGCUUACCAAGGCAACGAUGCGUAGCCGACCUGAGAGGGUGAUCGGCCACACUGGAACUGAGACACGGUCCAGACUCCUACGGGAGGCAGCAGUAGGGAAUCUUCCGCAAUGGGCGAAAGCCUGACGGAGCAACGCCGCGUGAGUGAUGAAGGUCUUCGGAUCGUAAAACUCUGUUAUUAGGAAGAACAAAUGUGUAAGUAACUAUGCACGUCUUGACGGUACCUAAUCAGAAAGCCACGGCUAACUACGUG
Molecule: ribosomal RNA, 496 nt
Filed under: uncultured bacterium
Lineage: Bacteria
Description: partial 16S ribosomal RNA
Rfam family: Bacterial small subunit ribosomal RNA
Source: RNAcentral